AAAGGUUCGCUUUUACGCGAUUAAUAAGGGAAUGAGGUGUAAGUCCUCUACUGUCCCGCAGCUGUUAGCUUCAUUAUGCCCGCAAGCAAAUAACCACUGUUGAUUGACAAAUAGCAAUAUUUGUCCUUUUAAACGGGAAGGUGCCUUGCGGCGAAGCAAAGUCAGAAGACCUGCCUUUACGU
RNAcentral lists this non-coding RNA (182 nucleotides) under uncultured Prevotella sp. The record is from RNAcentral. Lineage: Bacteria; Pseudomonadati; Bacteroidota; Bacteroidia; Bacteroidales; Prevotellaceae.